GUUUGUGGGACUCUCAUACCACAAAUGAAGUGCUUUUUAUCAAUGAGACAGCCUUGGUAAAUAGGUAUUUUGUAUCAAGAUGCCAAAAUGUGGCAAAUUAUCUUCAAAUAGUAACUGCAGAUGGGCAGUUUUGAUAUUUCACCUCUUUUCUAGAACAGCUGGCUUUUCAUUUCUCUUUCAUUUUGAACUAGGAAGACUGUUGAGGAUGUGGUGGGCUUCCCUGUGGCAAGUGGAAGGGAGCCGCAGAGUAGCAUCCCUCAUUCUGAUGGACCUGUCCUGUGUCCUCGGGACCCACCUGAGGGUGUAGACGUCUUCUCCACAUUCCACACAGAUGCCUACAAGCAGCCAGCUGGGGUGUGAGCUUUCCUCCUCCUCAUUCUCUAAAACUUCUCCCCUCCCUCUCCAAAAAUGAAAGGAAGAAAAGGCUCAAUUAUACUUUUUCUGGAAAAUGUGAGUCCUUUCCUCAAGUCUUCAAACAAACCUUACCUGGAAAUUAGUAUCUGAUUUUUUAUAUGAAGAAAUACUUUAAUGUAUGUUUAUACAGUAUUUAUUAGGUAGUCAUAACUGUAAACUCACCUACCUAGAAAAGUUUCAGAUUAAAUAUUGGGACAUGUACAGGAAUAAAAAAUAUUACUUUGAAGGUCAUUUGCCUAUUUUAAAGCCAUGUUUUAGCACCUUUUAGGCUAGGCGAAGUCUGAUAGUGCCUGUUCCUGUCAUCUGUACUCAAAGUUAUUGAAAAUUAUUGCAUGCAGGCGAGAUCAAAGUGUUU
RNAcentral lists this long non-coding RNA (769 nucleotides) under Bos taurus (domestic cattle). RNAcentral describes it as "long non-coding RNA NONBTAT009269". Lineage: Eukaryota; Metazoa; Chordata; Mammalia; Artiodactyla; Bovidae. The record is from RNAcentral.